UAAUAAAGUAAGAAUAGGUGGGUGUGUACUCUGUCUAAUGGAAGAGGAUAAUCCUAUUUCCCCUGAGAUUAGGAAGGGAGAGACUAGGGAGGAGUAGGAAGAGAGGAAAAGAAGGAAAUGUCCAUUUUAAAAAUAAAUUGCAGUGGCAGAGCAGCCAGGGUUAUAUUUGAAGCAUGAAAUGGACUCUGUUACACUUCCCCACUGUCAAUUUCUGCACUCCAUUUCCGUGGAAAACCAGGUGAUGACAUCUCCAAAGUGCUUCCUGCUGAAAGAAGGCAAAGCUGGGGGCUGUGACCCAGAGUCCUUGUUCUCUUUCAGGUCGGGCAUGGACAAUUAAGGGCAUUCAGCACCAGAGCAGCCCACAGGGGCAUCAAAUUAUUUUAAAUGUAACUGAAAACAUUCAAAAUAAGAUUGGCUUUAAACAAAUAAAAUGAAGUUUA
This 440-nucleotide long non-coding RNA is filed under the name Marmota monax (woodchuck). The record is from RNAcentral. Lineage: Eukaryota; Metazoa; Chordata; Mammalia; Rodentia; Sciuridae.